GAUGAACGCUAGCGACAGGCUUAACACAUGCAAGUCGAGGAGCAUCGGGACGUAGCAAUACGUUGCCGGCGACCGGCGGAUGGGUGAGUAACGCGUAUGCAACCUGCCCACGACAGGGGGACAGCCCGUUGAAAGACGGAUUAAUACCCCAUAAAACAGGGGUUCCGCAUGGGACUAUUUGUUAAAGGGUUUUCCGCGAGGGGGAUCCGGUUGUGGAUGGGCAUGCGUUCCAUUAGGCAGUUGGUGAGGUAACGGCUCACCAAACCGACGAUGGAUAGGGGAACCGGGAGGUUGGUCCCCCACACUGGUACUGAGAUACGGACCAGACUCCUACGGGAGGCAGCAGUGAGGAAUUUUGGUCAAUGGACGGAAGUCUGAACCAGCCAAGUCGCGUGAAGGAAGGCGGCCCUAAGGGUUGUAAACUUCUUUUGUAAGGGAAUAAAGGCCGGUACGUGUUACCGGUUUGCAGGUACCUUACGAAUAAGGAUCGGCUAACUCCGUG
This 502-nucleotide ribosomal RNA is filed under the name uncultured bacterium. RNAcentral's name for it is "bacterial SSU rRNA". It matches the Rfam family "Bacterial small subunit ribosomal RNA", at positions 28 to 507 of the family's 1533-position model. The record is from RNAcentral.